GAAACCCUAGUCAUUAUUCCACUUUCAGCUGUCCCCAGAUGUAGAAAACUCUCUCUAACGAAUCAAUUGAUGUAAGGAGAUCUGAGGCUGCAGUCCACCAUAUUGAGAAGAUGAUGCUUAAUCUAUUGAUCAUCUCCAUUUUUGGGUUUUCCAAACUAAGUUAAUUGCACGGCUGGGAGAAAAUUUUUUGUAGCCAUAAUAUUGAAGCCUACCGUACACAGCAAAAUCGCCCAUCGUUGAUGCCUUCUUCUUCGACCGAAUCUUGAGCAAAUAUUAUGUAAGUAUGAUAUUUGGUCAUUGCUUUUUACUAUGGUAAAGUAAUUUCAGUUUUAAGAAAUGAAAAAAUCUCAACCUCAUCCCCACUUCUUUGAAAAACUCAACGUAAUGCGUUGUAAAGUUUCAAACUCCAUUUCGAAUAUAUGCAAGUUUCGAAUAUAUGUUAAUAUGGGCUCGUGUUGAAUAUAUGAUAAUUUGGGCAUUGUCGGCUGCGAAAUAUUACGUGUUGUUAGAGGUGGGAAAUGGGACAUUCGAACUCUAUUUGGACUUAGUGUAGUGGGAAUAUCUCUGAGGCUAUUUUUUAUUUGAACUUGCAUUUGUUUGUAUCAUUGCUAAAUCUUACAUUACACUACCAAAGGUUGUAAAGAUACAAGGUUUUGAAUUAGACUGUUUGCUAUUGAACUAGGAAACAUAGGCACAAAUUGUGUUAAAUUUAACAGAUUCUGAAGGUUUUGUUUGCUGUUGAUAUGUUUCUUGACAUUUGUUUUUGGUUUUAAAUUUGAUUUUUGUGAGUAACUCAAUUGCACUGAGCAAGGGAAUUUUGUUAAAAAUCUUGUUUAGUUGUUUAAUGUAUUGUAAUAUGUGUGUCGUUUGUGUGUAGUAUGCCGAGAAAGAACUUCGAACUUUGUCAUAGCUGUAGAGAGAAGGGUCACUUGUUUGCAAAUUGCCCGAACAAAAGGAAAUGCCCCUUGUGUAAAAGUGGAUUUGCGAAGUGCUUCGAGGUCGAGAGGAAGACGAAGAACAAGGGAAAAUUGCUCAACUGCUGCCAUGCUAACUGUAAAUAUUGGGAAUGGGUCGAUGAAGGAUAAUCAAGCCGUGGAUCGAGUAAUGUUACCGUUAACUUGAAUAAUUGUGCAGCACUCGAGGAAGUUCAGCAAUUCUCUCGCAUGUUCCAGUCUCUUUGUCACGUGGUUUUCGAGGAACCAAACAUUGAGAUUUCUUUGAACGUGACAAUAAGAAAGGCCAACGAAAGUGCGGGAAUGGAUAUAAAAGGGAAGGGGUCAGCAUGAUCAGUGGUUAACUAAUAAGUGAUGUGUAGUUAGUGUGUUGUGUUAUGUGCAGUUGAUGUGUAAUAUGUGCCGUUGGUGAAUUGAAGAAGUCAUUGUAAUAAAUUCGUUUUUUUAUGUUUGAAUCACUAUGUUAACGAUGUUGGUGUUGAUAGUAGUGGAUUACAAUUUGUUUUCAUUAUAUAAUUUGUC
RNAcentral lists this long non-coding RNA (1475 nucleotides) under Olea europaea (common olive). RNAcentral describes it as "long non-coding RNA (OEUR_LNC004446)". Lineage: Eukaryota; Viridiplantae; Streptophyta; Magnoliopsida; Lamiales; Oleaceae. The record is from RNAcentral.